AGUUUUCCCUUAUUGGUUUGAGUUUUACCUAGAAAUUCAAAAAACAGAUGAAUCUUUCAAGUUAGAGCACAGAUCGACAAAGACACAACUACCAAGUCUUGAUAUUUAUAGAUCUCAUAUUAUCCUUAGAUAGCUUACACUGUUCUCCAUAUUUUUCUUCUAUGAUGAUUACAUGUCUUAGCUCCAUAUUAUUCUAUCUCCAGUC
This 205-nucleotide long non-coding RNA is filed under the name Capsicum annuum. Its description in RNAcentral is "long non-coding RNA (CANN_LNC008359)". The record is from RNAcentral. Lineage: Eukaryota; Viridiplantae; Streptophyta; Magnoliopsida; Solanales; Solanaceae.